Molecule: transfer RNA, 72 nt
Filed under: Camelus bactrianus (Bactrian camel)
Lineage: Eukaryota; Metazoa; Chordata; Mammalia; Artiodactyla; Camelidae
Also listed under: 2 other names
Rfam family: tRNA
About the family: Transfer RNA (tRNA) molecules are approximately 80 nucleotides in length.
Source: Rfam by way of RNAcentral
GAGGGUCUAGCUCAGUGGGUAAGCGCAUGCUUAGCAUGCAUGAGGUCAUGGGUUCGAUCCCCAGUACCUCCG